This 274-nucleotide ribosomal RNA is filed under the name uncultured bacterium. RNAcentral's name for it is "partial 16S ribosomal RNA". It matches the Rfam family "Bacterial small subunit ribosomal RNA", at positions 523 to 796 of the family's 1533-position model. The record is from RNAcentral.
AUACGGAGGGGGCAAGCGUUAUUCGGAAUCACUGGGCGUAAAGGACGCGUAGGCGGGUUGGCAAGUCAGAUGUGAAAUCCUACAGCUUAACUGUAGAACUGCAUUUGAAACUGCUAACCUAGAGUAUGGGAGGGGGAGAUGGAAUUAGUGGUGUAGGGGUAAAAUCCGUAGAUAUCACUAGGAAUACCUAAAGCGAAGGCGAUCUCCUGGAACAUUACUGACGCUAAGGCGUGAAAGCGUGGGGAGCAAACGGGAUUAGAAACCCUAGUAGUCC